RNAcentral lists this ribosomal RNA (301 nucleotides) under Trypanosoma sp. ESTMEL02. Its description in RNAcentral is "partial 18S ribosomal RNA". It matches the Rfam family "Eukaryotic small subunit ribosomal RNA", at positions 320 to 613 of the family's 1831-position model. The record is from RNAcentral. Lineage: Eukaryota; Euglenozoa; Kinetoplastea; Trypanosomatida; Trypanosomatidae.
CAGUGAUGGCCGUGUAGUGGACUGCCAUGGCGUUGACGGGAGCGGGGGAUUAGGGUUCGAUUCCGGAGAGGGAGCCUGAGAAAUAGCUACCACUUCUACGGAGGGCAGCAGGCGCGCAAAUUGCCCAAUGUCAAAAAAAAACGAUGAGGCAGCGAAAAGAAAUAGAGCCGAGAGCGCCUUGUGCGUUCUCGUUUUCAAUGGGGGAUAUUUAAACCCAUCCAAAAUCGAGUAACAAUUGGAGGACAAGUCUGGUGCCAGCACCCGCGGUAAUUCCAGCUCCAAAAGCGUAUAUUAAUGCUGU